Molecule: RNA transcript, 1309 nt
Organism: Spodoptera frugiperda (fall armyworm)
Lineage: Eukaryota; Metazoa; Arthropoda; Insecta; Lepidoptera; Noctuidae
Exons: 2
Source: RefSeq, a predicted model, not a curated record
CACAGCGAAUGACAUGGCGGACCGCGAUUGUGCUCACUUCGAAUGUGUAGAACUGACAAUUACAGAAUAUCUAGCAGUUAGUAUUCUAUGUUAACAUGAGUUUGCAGAAGAGAGAAAGUUUUUGAUAUAUUAUGUCCGUCUAAUUGUCUAUAAACAAUUGUAGAUUUUACCAUAAGUAGUAAAUCGUAGAGAAUUAGUACCUCGGUAAAACAUUUUAUGCUAGCCUCAAUAUCAAUUGUGACCAUUUGAACUACACCUGAUGUGAGCAUCGUAAGGAAUAGAUUACAUAUUCAUUAAGCAGUUCAUAUUAUUUAAAGUAGUAGGAAGCUUGUAAGAAAUAGUACCAUUAUUAGUCAGCAGUGACAUGAGUCAACACUAUAUGUAUUACAAAUGUGAAUGUUUGUUUGGAUGUUUGUGCGUCAAUCACGCUGAAACUAAUGAACGGAUUUUGCUGAAAUGUGAUAUACAGACAGGGUAUGAGCUGCUUUGGCAGAUUGGAUACUUUUUAUCCCACAGCAACGCGUGUGAAGCAGCUGGCAGAAGCUAGUCUUUAGAAAAGUUUGACCUGGCCCCAGAUAUAAGCGUUAUUUUUACAUUUGUCAUUUCAUUACACAUGGUUAUCACCGAAAAAUAAUUUAAUACAUGAUUUCACAAUACUGCCAAUUUUUAUAGUGUACAUAAAAUAGUUGCUAUUUGUUUCUUAUUUUAUUACAUACCCACUUCUUACGCAAGCACGAGCACUUGACCAAAAUGGACUUGUUCAAGCACUGUUUAUAUUUUGGCGUUAUAAUGAUUUUAUGUUUCAUCCACUUUGCCAGUACUUGUACCGUAUGUGCUGCUCACGGUUCGCAUAACACGGAUAUCAAAGAAAAAGUAUUUAAAUUCGUGCUACCCAAGAGCAAGUACCUAUAUCGUGUGAAAAAUCUUCCCUCGCCGUAUUAGUCUACUCAACGAAAAUACAACAACAUACAAGAAAUUGUUCAAUUUUUUUCAAAAUUUGUCACGCACUCACACAGCCGUCCACAGUCCAGUAAUAGACCUAUAUAUUGCAUCUGGCAGGCGCAACGAGUUCAUAGAAAACGGAUUUUGCGACGUGAAAAUCAAGACUCUCCUACGAAGUCGCCAAACAAAAAUAAUCAAAAUAUGGCACAAAUUCUUGAAAUCAUGAAUCAGUUGAACAACAGUCAAGUUGUUAACGAUAAGUUAAGUCGAGGCCUACUCAUGCAACAAUUAUUUAAAACGUUUACCAAAACUCCACCAAAGUCUUGUUUCAAAUGUAACAUGAAUAGAACAUGAAUUUCCUUGUAAA